GAAAACUGGAGUCGAGCCCCGUUGGGUAGAAUUUUUUAAGAAGACUCACACAAAGAAAAGUGGUUCUUUUGUGAACCCACAUUGUGAGACUUUAUACAAUCAAAUGAAGGAUUUAACAGCUGAAGAAGGCAUUGACAACACAAAGGAAGCUUCCAUAAUGACACAAGUACUAGGGGGCCCCCGAUCUGGCCAUGUUAAAGGCAUGGGGUAUGGUGUCAUACCUACCCCAUCCUCAUCUCGGUUGCGUGAUGUGAUCCAUGUGGACAACCAUGAAGAGUGUAACCAAAAAAUGGAGGCGAUGCAGGAGAAGAUAGAUAUGCUAAUGGCAAUUGUGAUGCCUGGACGAAGCGUGGAAGAUGAUUCAAGCUAGGGCAACCUCUCUUAACAUAGAUCAACUGAAGGUGUUUAUUGGAUUGAUGGUGAUAGUGGGCUUUUGCAUGGUCGCCUAACUAUGUUAAAAUAUGAGCUGUUGCAAUGGGAAAGAUUGGGAAUGAGACAAUUGAGUUUGUGAUUAAAAAAAAAAAAAAAAAAAACAAAACUCAUUAACACCUUUUGUAGUAGUUUGUCUUUUGUUUGUCUUUUUGUAUGUCUUUCCCCCUACUAUUAAGCUCAUGUAGUUGUAAAUUUUUUGUAUUUUAUUUAAUUACGAAGCUUCUUAUAUCUGUU
This is a long non-coding RNA of Alnus glutinosa, 666 nucleotides long. RefSeq lists it as uncharacterized. The transcript is spliced from 3 exons. Lineage: Eukaryota; Viridiplantae; Streptophyta; Magnoliopsida; Fagales; Betulaceae. The record is from RefSeq and is a predicted model, not a curated record.